UGGGGAAUAUUGGACAAUGGGGGCAACCCUGAUCCAGCGAUGCCGCGUGGGUGAAGAAGGCCUUCGGGUUGUAAAGCCCUUUAGGUUGGGAAGAAGGCUGUGUGGGGAUAAUCCAUGCAGUUUGACUGUACCGACAGAAUAAGCACCGGCAAACUCUGUGCCAGCAGCCGCGGUAAUACAGAGGGUGCGAGCGUUAAUCGGAUUAACUGGGCGUAAAGGGCGCGUAGGCGGUGAGGUGUGAGUGAUGUGAAAGCCCCGGGCUUAACCUGGGAAGCGCAUCGCUGACUACCUGACUGGAGUAUAUGAGAGGGUGGCGGAAUUUCCGGUGUAGCGGUGAAAUGCGUAGAGAUCGGAAGGAACGUCAAUGGCGAAGGCAGCCACCUGGCAUAAUACUGACGCUGAGGCGCGAAAGCGUGGGGAGCGAACAG
This 428-nucleotide ribosomal RNA is filed under the name uncultured bacterium. RNAcentral describes it as "bacterial SSU rRNA". It matches the Rfam family "Bacterial small subunit ribosomal RNA", at positions 355 to 775 of the family's 1533-position model. The record is from RNAcentral.